UUGGUGCACAAACUGGCAUGAGUAUCGUAAGAUAUAUUGUUUAUUUUUCUGCAAAAUUGUUUCUUAUAUACUAACUUUUAAAACUUUGUAGAUCCUGAUGGACGUAUUAAAAGACGUCGGGGACCAACAAAAUUGGCAAAUGUUUAAAAUCUUCCAGCUGGAGUUAAGAUUAUUGUCAAACUGGACCGUUUCAAUGCACCUUGCUGACAAUCUUCUGCAGUUCUUGGAUCCUAUUUAGGAACAUUAGUCAGGAAGCCACAUCUAGCUCCACUGAAUAUUCUAAAAUGGAAUGACAAAAUUUUUAUAAGAAUAUAUCAUCAAAAAAUGAUUACUGAAGUUAAGGUAUUUAUGUUUAGUUUACCAUGUUUUUAAAAUCAUACUGUUAUGGUGAUCCCAGUAUAAUUCCAUUGGCUCUUUUUUUUAUGCACUAGAGAAAGUUUGCAAUUGAUGGGAGAGCUAAGAGUUGGCUUCUCCAUCAGUUAGAUGGUAAAUGGAGGCAAUACAAGGGAAAACUGAAAGGAAAAUAUUACAAGCCUAACUUACCUAUGGAACGAGUAUUGCAAACGGUGCCCAACACUGUUGAUGAAUCUCGAUGGCCUACACUAGUUUCCUACUGGUACUCAAAGGACUCUAAGAAAAUCAGUGACAGAAACCAAGAGAAUGCACUCAAGCAUCCACACACUUUAGGAAGAAAGAGUUUUACAAGAAAGAGAAAAGAACUGGAAGUUAAUGGGGUGGAGGUGGACCGAGAAACCUUCUUUGAUGAAUGCCAUAAGACAAAAGAUGGUAGAUAUGUUACUGAUGCUACUCCAGAAAAACGUGGUCUAACAUAUCUUUUUUUAACUGUUUGUACAACAAAAUACACUAUGCUAAGAGUAUGAUUUUUCCAAUGUAGAAUGAGGUAUACAUGAAAUUGGCUGAGAAAAGAGUAGAUAGUCAACAACUCACUGAAGCUGAUUUUGAACAAGCUAUGUUAGAUAUGUUUGGAAAGGAUCAUAGUGGUAGAGUUAGAGGCAUGGGUCCAACCAUUACUCCUACAAACUAUUAUGGUGGAAGGUUUCUGAAUAUAUCAGCAAUCAAUGAACAAGGAACCAGCUCCAGUAAUGUCAAUGCUUUCAUAAGUUAGUUUUAUGGUCUCAUAUAUGGCAGAGAAAUAUCCCGAGGACAAUUUGUUGGCUAGGCUGCCACCAUCCCUUACUAGGCUCAUCCCAACAAGUGAGGUUAAUCAAAACCAAGAAGUUCAGGCACCAAAUACUGCGCCAUCUCCCAGUCAGAGAGCAUCUUCUCAGCCUUCAACUGAAGAAGAGUGAAGUUAUAGAUUUACAGUGGCAACUAUAUCAUUCCAUACUACUUGCUGCAUUAGGAUUUUUUUUAGUUAUCUUGUUUAACAAGCUACUGUUUCACUGUUAUCGGAAAUAAUGUUUAAGCAUUUUCAUUGGGAACAAUGUAUGGAUAUUACUUGUUUGUUUCAAUACGAAGUACUGGUGCUAAAAAUCUUGUUGUGAUCUAAUGGUAAUUUAAUCUGGUGAUAUUGUUUUAUGAAUUUUAUGAAUAAAGUUGUAUUAAUUAUUCUCGUGUAACCAACACUGCUAAGGACGGUAUUAAAGUAGAGAUGGUUUUCCAUGUGUCUAGAAAUUUGAUUUGAAUUUCGAGUUAUCUAUGUAGCGACGGUUCCGACCGUCUCUAACUAUACGUAUGGCUUUUCAAACCGUCUCUAAUCAUUUGACACAGGAGCAAUGGCAAUGCCUCUAACACGGUUGCUAAAACCAUCUCUACCACAAUUAGAGAUGGGUAUAGCCGUCUCUACAGUGUAUAAAAACCCGUCUCUAGAGACUGUUUGUGCUGUAAUGGUUUAGGAACCUUGAUGACAGUACAAAUUUAGGGACCGCCUGUACAAUUCAAUCUUUAAAGUUUAUGGGGGCUAUAUGAACUCUUUCAGUUUGCAUUAUUGCUAUUGCCUAUAUAUAUUUCUUUUUUAGAUGAUUGGCAAUUGAUCUAACCGCUAUGUACAUCCUCUUGCGCCACAAAUAGUAUGCGAUAUGUAUAGCGUAUAACACAAUGAAUCCCUCCAAAAUCUCAAGGUCGUCGUUCACAAUGGCUCAUACAUACCAUGAUGUUUUGGACUAGGAGGCAUCAAGAAUAGGUUAUGCCCUUUGCAAUUAAUCGGCUGCUACAGGUAUCCCAAUAGUACAUAUUCCACGGCGCAAGCAGUUUAACUGAUUUGACAAUUGUUGUGGCAGUCUGCCAACAAAUUGCUAUCUAUUGAUAUGCCAUGUCACGUCAUUAUGCAAACAUCUAAAAAUUCUCACCAUUGGAAUGGCGUUAUGAGCAA
This is a non-coding RNA of Oryza sativa Japonica Group (Japanese rice), 2332 nucleotides long. The record is from RefSeq and is a predicted model, not a curated record. NCBI's taxonomy places the organism in Eukaryota, Viridiplantae, Streptophyta, Magnoliopsida, Poales, Poaceae.